Molecule: non-coding RNA, 3076 nt
Organism: Sus scrofa (pig)
Lineage: Eukaryota; Metazoa; Chordata; Mammalia; Artiodactyla; Suidae
Source: RefSeq, a predicted model, not a curated record
CCGACGCCGGGGUCUCGGGGGCCCAGCCGCUCUGCAGUGCCUGGGCCUGGUGGGAGCGCGCAGCCGCAUUCUCCGUUGACCUUAAUCAGAAAAAGCCAAGCGUUUGUGCCGCGCGGGCAGUGGAAAGUGUCAGUUGAGCCGGCACUGACUCUGAUUCUGCCUGGCUGCACCGCUUGACUUCUGCACAGCGGCUUUCAGGCAGUAGAAUCCCAGUUUGCUGCCCAGGCCCUGACCUGUGAGAGAAGCCCAUCCUCCUGGAGGAAGGGGGGCUUUUUCUAAGGUACUUGAAGAUGCCCUCCUACCUAGAGCAGCCUGCAGUGGUAACCAGAGCCCACGUGACCCCGCCCUGAUGGAGCUUGGAUUGAGGUGGGAAGAUGUAAUGAGGAAAUAAGCAGACUCAAAGGAUUGAGCAAAUGAAUACAUGUAUUUUGUUGGGAACCAGAGUUCUCACCGUGUAUGAAAUGGGGAGAGUGAGGAAGACUCCUGUGGUGUUGGAUUGGAACUACAAUAUUAAAAGAAUGUGAACUCUUUUCUUUUAAAAAUAUGUAUUUCGUCACUGUCCACUGAAAGAGCCUAAGAGCAAAGAUGCCCCAGUAGCAAUGAACACACCUAAAACCAGAUCUGCUUUCUAAAUACCAUUUCCCAUUAAAAGUAACCAGGGCUCCUUGGAGAAAAGAUCAGUUCCAGGUUUGGGGCCAAGAAAGGACAAAGUAAGCCUGAAAUGUCUUAUUGAGAGAGAAAGUAAGAAAGUGCACAAAAGCUGAUGGAUUUAUGUCAAAAGGCUACAGGAACCAGCUUGAAUUUGGCCAAAUUUGUGAAGAUUUGAAUAUCAAAAAUCAUCAUGGCUGGAAUGGCUUUUGACACAUUAAUUUUUAAAAAAUUCCUUGUUGAUGCAAGAAUUUUAAAGCUCUUUACAGAAGAAUGUUAAGAGGUAAAUGUAAAAUGUAUAGUAAAUUUAGAAGAAAUCACCAGGCAGGACUCAUCAGUGAUAUUAAAACCAAUGGAUGAAAAAUUUUGGGGGAACAGAAUAGUCAUUCAGUCUCAAACUAGCACUCCAUGAAUAGCUUAUUCAUUACAAAAGCGAAAAUGUACCUUUGCAUAGGGUAAACCUGGCAGUACCAGGUUAACCAAAUGACCAAAUGUAACACUGGUAAUGGGCCACACUAGGGUCACGAGCUUCUGGAUGUGAUGUGCUCAAAAUACAUUCCUGAUGUUCCUGCAAAAAAAAAUGCUUAUCCUGCAUCCAAUAGGAGGGAACAACUUUCAAACCCAAAAAAGGGAUAUUCUGCUGAACAACUCUCCUGGCUCUUCAAAAAUAUCUAUGCCAUGAAAAAAAUGAGACUGUUUAGAAUAAAAGAGACAUGUAGUGUAUGAUCCUGAAUUCAGUGCUGGACGAGAAAAAGACAGAAUCCCAGGACAUUAUUGAGUCAAUUGUAGAAAUUUGAAUAUGACUCAGUAUGAAAGAAAUAGUGCUAUAUCAGUGUUAAAGUACCCAAGAAUGAUUGUUUUGUAAUUAUGGAGGAAAAUGCUGUAGGAAUACAUGUGUGUAUUUGACAUUUUAUUUCCUUAUGAUGUUUUACUAUUUAAAUUUUUUACUUUGAAAAAUGUCAGCCAUUUAGAAGAAUGAACACUGAUGGAGGAGGGUAGGGUUAGGGGGUGGAGAGGCAGGGUAGAGAGAGAGAGAGAGAGUGAAAAUGUGGGAAAAUUAUAAUUGGUGAAUCUAAGGGAAGAGCAUGUAAGUGUUCAUUUUUCUAAAUGACAAACUUUUCAAAAAAUUUUUCAAGAGUAAAACAUGAUAGAAAUAUGUUGAAUAGUUUAAAAAAAAACAUUGAAGAGGUAAUUGGGAGGAUUUUCUGCAGAGUGAGGAUGAGAGAUUGAGCAUGCCACUUAGUUUUCUGCCUUACAUGAGUGGGUGAAUGAUAAGGUCAUUAUUUAAGGUCAAAAACAGAAUAAGAAUUUAAUUUAAGGAGCAGGAUGAUUAGCUGAGUUUUGAUCUUGUUGACUUUGAAGUGUUCAUGGCCCAACCAAAUGAAAUACAGAUAUGGAAGUCAGACCUUAGGGGAAAGGUCAGAGCUAAAGCAGGCAGAGCUAAAUUAUCAGCAUGGAAAGGGUAAAGAUGCAGCAUCAAUGAGACCUUAAAGAAAGAGAAGAGCAAUGAGCUAUGGGAUUCAAGGGAAUUCUGAUGUUUAAAGCAGUUCUUAAUCUAGGCAUCAAGGAGUCUGGGAGACCCUAGCAUUUCCCAGUAUCUAAUUCACUUCCUUUCUGAGUAGGUAGCUAACUGUGUUUCUCAGCUUCUCCCAGCUCUGGGUGAAAUCAUAUGACCAAGCUCUGGCCAAUGGGCCAAUGGAAUGGAGGCAGGAAGCCUCUCCUGUCUCUAGGUGACAGCACAUGACCAAGCUCGCUCACUCAUCCUGAUUUCCCAUCUACGCAGCUGGAAGCUGAAGACUUUGAGACUGUUGAGCCACGUGAUGGUAGAAGGGGGAUCCCUGAAUCAUGCUUGGAGGAGAGCUCCCUAGGAGAACAUUGGUAUUGGAAUUUGCCCAAUCAGGAAAUCAGCCUUGGUUGUGCCAGUCCAUUAAGAUUUGGGGGUUGCUUGUUGUUUCUUGAAGCUGAUGGAAUUCCUUAUAAAGGACAUAGUUUCUCUGGGAGAAAGGUCUUUUUAAUCUGGGAGAAAGGCUCCUUUAUUUUCUAAGGAGUCUGAGUUUCCAGAAGAAAUAACAGGACAGGCACAGAUGGAGGAUCCAGAGAGAAAUUAAAGAAGGAGCAAAGAGGCAUAAGGAGAAACUCAAGAGAUUAAUGUCAGAGAACCCGGGUAAGCAGAGUUGCAAGGACCAAGUGGUCUGCAGCAUGGAAGGUGGCGGCGACGUCCAGAAAGCGCUGAGGAGUGUCUCUUAGACUGGAGAACUAGUGGGUCAUUCUUGACCUUGGCAGAAGCAGUAAGUUGAGCCGUAAAUGGGGAGUAAGGAAAUAGAGAGGGUAGGAAAUUACUAUAAAAACUUGUCUCCAUAAGCAGAAAUUAUCACAAAUUGUAAAUCAACUAUACUUCAAUAAAACUUAAAAAAAUGAAAAAGUAGAA